UCCUAAAAGGUAACGGAGGCGCUCAAAGGUUCCCUCAGAAUGGUUGGAAAUCAUUCAUAGAGUGUAAAGGCAUAAGGGAGCUUGACUGCGAGACCUACAAGUCGAGCAGGGUCGAAAGACGGACUUAGUGAUCCGGUGGUUCCGCAUGGAAGGGCCAUCGCUCAACGGAUAAAAGCUACCCCGGGGAUAACAGGCUUAUCUCCCCCAAGAGUUCACAUCGACGGGGAGGUUUGGCACCUCGAUGUCGGCUCAUCGCAUCCUGGGGCUGUAGUCGGUCCCAAGGGUUGGGCUGUUCGCCCAUUAAAGCGGUACGCGAGCUGGGUUCAGAACGUCGUGAGACAGUUCGGUCCCUAUCCGUCGUGGGCGUAGGAAAUUUGAGAGGAGCUGUCCUUAGUACGAGAGGACCGGGAUGGACAUACCUCUGGUGUACCAGUUGUCGUGCCAACGGCAUAGCUGGGUAGCUAUGUGUGGACGGGAUAAGUGCUGAAAGCAUCUAAGCAUGAAGCCCCCCUCAAGAUGAGAUUUCCCAACUUCGGUUAUAAGAUCCCUCAAAGAUGAUGAGGUUAAUAGGUUCGAG
RNAcentral lists this ribosomal RNA (577 nucleotides) under Staphylococcus aureus. RNAcentral's name for it is "partial 23S ribosomal RNA". It matches the Rfam family "Bacterial large subunit ribosomal RNA", at positions 2288 to 2866 of the family's 2925-position model. The record is from RNAcentral. Lineage: Bacteria; Bacillati; Bacillota; Bacilli; Caryophanales; Staphylococcaceae.